GUAACAGGGGAACAGGGGAAGCCACUGGGGGAUUUUCACCCCUUCAAAGAUGUGAUCCACCAAACUGUUGCCAAGGGAGACAUGGAAUGGGCAAAGGGCAUGGAAACCCUUUAAUGUCUGUCAGUCUUUACUAGAGAGGUGGAUGUUGUGUUGCCAUGGUAUCAUCAUGUUGAAGAUAGAUACACAUUCCACUUCCCAGAAUACCAUGUCCUUUUCAGAGUGAACACCUCCAUCUUCCUCUCUUACCUUCAACCUAGAGACCGGCUGUUCUCCUGAGUUGAAGCUGACUGUUCUCUGUUCUCCUGAGUUGAGACUGACUGUUCUCCUGGGCUGAGGCUGGCUGUUCUCCUGGGUUGAGGCUGGCUGUUCUCCUGGGCUGAGGCUGGCUGUUCUCCUGGGUUGAGGCUGGCUGUUCUCCUGGGUUGAGGCUGGCUGUUCUCUGUUCUCCUGGGUUGAGGCUGGCUGCUCUCCUGGGUUGAGGCUGGCUGCUCUCCUGGGUUGAGGCUGGCUGUUCUCCUGGGCUGUGGCUGGCUGUUCUCUGUUCUCCUGGGUUGAGACUGGCUGCUCUCCUGGGCUAAGCCUGGCUGUUCUCCUGGGUUGAGGCUGGCUGUUCUCCUGGGUUGAGGCUGGCUGUUCUCUGUUCUCCUGGGUUGAGGCUGGCUGUUCUCCUGGGUUGAGGCUGGCUGUUCUCCUGAGUUGAGACUGGCGGUUCUCUGUUCUCCUGAGUUGAGACUGGCUGUUCUCUGUUCUCCUGAGUUGAAGCUGACUGUUCUCUGUUCUCCUGAGUUGAGGCUGACUGUUCUCCUGGGCUGAGGCUGGCUGUUCUCCUGGGUUGAGACUGGCUGUUCUCUGUUCUCCUGGGUUGAGGCUGGCUGUUCUCUGUUCUCCUGAGUUGAAGCUGACUGUUCUCUGUUCUCCUGAGUUGAGGCUGACUGCUCUCCUGGGUUGAGGCUGGCUGUUCUCCUGGGCUGAGACUGGCUGUUCUCUGUUCUCCUGGGUUGAGGCUGGCUGCUCUCCUGGGCUGAGCCUGGCUGUUCUCCUGGGUUGAGGCUGGCUGUUCUCCUGGGUUGAGGCUGGCUGUUUUCUGUUCUCCUGAGUUGAAGCUGACUGUUCUCCUGGGCUGAGGCUGGCUGUUCUCCUGGGCUGAGGCUGGCUGUUCUCCUGAGUUGAGACUGACUGUUCUCUGUUCUCCUGAGUUGAGAAUGACUGUUCUCCUGGGCUGAGGCUGGCUGUUCUCCUGGGCUGAGGCUGGCUGUUCUCCUGGGCUGAGGCUGGCUGUUCUCCUGGGUUGAGGCUGACUGUUCUCCUGGGCUGAGGCUGGCUGUUCUCCUGGGCUGAGGCUGGCUGUUCUCCUGGGUUGAGGCUGACUGUUCUCCUGGGCUGAGGCUGACUGUUCUCCUGGGUUGAGGCUGGCUGUUCUCCUGGGUUGAGGCUGACUGUUCUCCUGGGCUGAGGCUGACUGUUCUCCUGGGCUGAGGCUGACUGUUCUCCUGGGCUGAGGCUGACUGUUCUCCUGGGCUGAGGCUGACUGUUCUCCUGGGCUGAGGCUGACUGUUCUCCUGGGUUGAGGCUGGCUGUUCUCCUGAGUUGAGACUGGCUGUUCUCUGUUCUCCUGAGUUGAGACUGGCUGUUCUCUGUUCUCCUGAGUUGAAGCUGACUGUUCUCUGUUCUCCUGAGUUGAGGCUGACUGUUCUCCUGGGCUGAGGCUGGCUGUUCUCCUGGGUUGAGACUGGCUGUUCUCUGUUCUCCUGGGUUGAGGCUGGCUGUUCUCUGUUCUCCUGAGUUGAAGCUGACUGUUCUCUGUUCUCCUGAGUUGAGGCUGACUGCUCUCCUGGGUUGAGGCUGGCUGUUCUCCUGGGCUGAGACUGGCUGUUCUCUGUUCUCCUGGGUUGAGGCUGGCUGCUCUCCUGGGCUGAGCCUGGCUGUUCUCCUGGGUUGAGGCUGGCUGUUUUCUGUUCUCCUGAGUUGAAGCUGACUGUUCUCCUGGGCUGAGGCUGGCUGUUCUCCUGGGUUGAGGCUGACUGUUCUCCUGGGUUGAGGCUGGCUGUUCUCCUGGGUUGAGGCUGGCUGUUCUCCUGGGCUGAGGCUGACUGUUCUCCUGGGCUGAGGCUGACUGUUCUCCUGGGCUGAGGCUGACUGUUCUCCUGGGCUGAGGCUGACUGUUCUCCUGGGCUGAGGCUGAC
Molecule: long non-coding RNA, 2183 nt
Filed under: Salmo salar (Atlantic salmon)
Lineage: Eukaryota; Metazoa; Chordata; Actinopteri; Salmoniformes; Salmonidae
Description: lncRNA (ENSSSAG00000119568.1)
Source: RNAcentral